GACGAACGCUGGCGGCGUGCCUAAUACAUGCAAGUCGAGCGAACAGAUGAGGAGUUUGCUCCUCUGACGUUAGCGGCGGACGGGUGAGUUACACUUGGAUAACCUACCUAUAAGACUGGGAUAACUUCGUGACACCGGAGCUAAUACCGUAUAAUAUAUUGAACCGCAUGGUUCAAUAGUGAAAGACGGUUUUGCUGUCUCUUAUAGAUGUAUCCGGGCCGCAUUAGCUAGUUGGUAAGGUAACGGCUUACCAAGGCAACGAGGCGUAGCCGACCUGAGAGGCUGAUAGGCCACACUGGAACUGAGACACGGACCAGACUCCUACGGGAGGCAGCGGUAGAGAAUCUGCCGCAAUGGGCGAAAGCCUGACGGAGCAACGCCGCGUGAGUGAUGAAGGUCUUCGGAUCGUAGAGCUGUGAUAUUCGGGAAGAACAAAUGUGUAAGUAGCUAUGCACGUCUUGACGGUACCGAGUCAGAAAGCCCCGGCUAACUACGUG
RNAcentral lists this ribosomal RNA (497 nucleotides) under uncultured bacterium. Its description in RNAcentral is "partial 16S ribosomal RNA". It matches the Rfam family "Bacterial small subunit ribosomal RNA", at positions 28 to 507 of the family's 1533-position model. The record is from RNAcentral.